RNAcentral lists this ribosomal RNA (508 nucleotides) under bacterium La24. RNAcentral describes it as "bacterial SSU rRNA". It matches the Rfam family "Bacterial small subunit ribosomal RNA", at positions 162 to 656 of the family's 1533-position model. The record is from RNAcentral.
GCUAAUACCGCAUAACAAUUUGAAUCGCAUGAUUCAAAUUUAAAAGAUGGCUUCGGCUAUCACUUUGGGAUGGACCUGCGGCGCAUUAGCUUGUUGGUAGGGUAACGGCCUACCAAGGCUGUGAUGCGUAGCCGAGUUGAGAGACUGAUCGGCCACAAUGGAACUGAGACACGGUCCAUACUCCUACGGGAGGCAGCAGUAGGGAAUCUUCCACAAUGGGCGCAAGCCUGAUGGAGCAACACCGCGUGAGUGAAGAAGGGUUUCGGCUCGUAAAGCUCUGUUGUUAGAGAAGAACGUGCGUGAGAGCAACUGUUCACGCAGUGACGGUAUCUAACCAGAAAGUCACGGCUAACUACGUGCCAGCAGCCGCGGUAAUACGUAGGUGGCAAGCGUUAUCCGGAUUUAUUGGGCGUAAAGCGAGCGCAGGCGGUUUGAUAAGUCUGAUGUGAAAGCCUUUGGCUUAACCAAAGAAGUGCAUCGGAAACUGUCAGACUUGAGUGCAGAAGAG